This 468-nucleotide ribosomal RNA is filed under the name uncultured bacterium. RNAcentral's name for it is "partial 16S ribosomal RNA". It matches the Rfam family "Bacterial small subunit ribosomal RNA", at positions 28 to 507 of the family's 1533-position model. The record is from RNAcentral.
GACGAACGCUGGCGGCGUGCUUAACACAUGCAAGUCGAACGGAAAGGCCCUGCUUUUGUGGGGUGCUCGAGUGGCGAACGGGUGAGUAACACGUGAGUAACCUGCCCUUGACUUUGGGAUAACUUCGGGAAACGGGGGCUAAUACCGGAUAGGAGCUCCUGCUGCAUGGUGGGGGUUGGAAAGGUUCGGCGGUUGGGGAUGGGCUCGCGGCGUAUCAGCUUGUUGGUGGGGUAGUGGCUUACCAAGGCUUUGACGGGUAGCCGGCCUGAGAGGGUGACCGGCCACAUUGGGACUGCGAUACGGCCCAGACUCCUACGGGAGGCAGCAGUGGGGAAUAUUGCACAAUGGGCGGAAGCCUGAUGCAGCAACGCCGCGUGCGGGAUGCCGGCCUUCGGGUUGUAAACCGCUUUCGCCUGUGACGAAGCGUGAGUGACGGUAAUGGGUAAAGAAGCACCGGCUAACUACGUG